Daphnia magna is the source of this 600-nucleotide long non-coding RNA. RefSeq lists it as uncharacterized. The transcript has 2 exons. The record is from RefSeq and is a predicted model, not a curated record. Lineage: Eukaryota; Metazoa; Arthropoda; Branchiopoda; Diplostraca; Daphniidae.
CGCGUACCAAUUAAAACUAUUCAGAGACUGAUCGCCACGAAGAAGUUGAGAAAUGAUGAACGCGUAGUAGGCGUAUUCAAAUAGUUUACAUCACUGUAAUGGCAGGGUUUCCUGCAAAGCUGAAAAACCUUUGACCCUGAAACCGGAUCCGCAAUGGAAAUCUGAGUUCAGUCCAAAUCACAGCUUAUUGCUAGUGCAGUUUGUUUUCUGUCCAAUCCAAUAGUUUACUAGAACUGUUUUGGAGUUGCGUAUCUUUGUAUUCAAGCAUACAAAAUCGAGCGUACUGUUUGUGUAAUGGACUAACGCAGUUGGCGUUUUGUUAGGGAACUGAGAAUAUAAAAUGAAAAUCAAUCAUCAACAUACCCCCAUAGAACCCAAAGGUCAUUGGGACUUCGAGAGACAUGUGAUAGCUACCAGGUUUUUCCAGUCAAAAGCAAAUUUUUUUUUACUUGAAUGUUAGUGUUGUUUUCAUGAUGUGAAAAUAUUGUCCAUAAGUGAAAAUGAGCAUUAUGCAAAUGAUGACAACUUUAAUCCAUUCCUAUGAUUCCUGUAACUGUUCCUAGUGUUGGAUCUUCAAUAUACGUCACAUGGUUACGUUUA